This 321-nucleotide long non-coding RNA is filed under the name Helianthus annuus (common sunflower). RNAcentral describes it as "sRNA HanXRQr2_Chr11g0481941". Lineage: Eukaryota; Viridiplantae; Streptophyta; Magnoliopsida; Asterales; Asteraceae. The record is from RNAcentral.
GUUGUGAGAAUUUAAUCUCGUGAGUUAUCGUAAUUGUUGUAUUAAGUUACCUACCUAGUUCGUGUGCACUAGGUUACAAGGCUAAAUCAAUAGGCUAAGCUCUGCCUGUAUAAAUCUACAAUAUAUCAAGCUUUGGCCGUAUGAAUCUGCAUGAUUAUAAUGUAAUUACAGUAGAUUGGAGUAAAGAUUGGAUCCGGCACUGAAGGACUUCAAGAAGUGGCUUAUUUUAUUAAUUAAAUCAAAUUAAGAAAUAUUGUUUUUAUUAAAAGCUACCUUUGUAACAAUGGAAUUUAUUCCAUCUAUUUAAAUAAAAUCUGGUGU